GGCAGGUAACUUCCGCUCUUGAGAAAAUUCUGGAAGAAUACAACAGCAUAUACCGUGAGUGGACAAACAUUCAGUACAAUCCGAUCGACCCGGACGCAGAAAAUUCUCAGUUUCAAAGAGACCGUUUAAGUUUCAAGGCGAAAACUGAUGUAAUAGAGCGCAUGGUUUCAUUUCAGUUUAAGAAAGCUCUUGAAGACACACAUGAUUUGCUUUUAGUAGGCUCUUGGAUUAAGUGAGCUUCACACGGAUGAUUGCUUUCCAAAGCUUUCCGGUGCUAUUCCAUUUCUUAAAAAACUUAAGUAAGUUUGCACAAGGAGCACGAACUUUACGAAUAUCCACUUUUUGACAACGAACGCGGAGGAU
Molecule: small RNA, 363 nt
Filed under: Drosophila yakuba
Lineage: Eukaryota; Metazoa; Arthropoda; Insecta; Diptera; Drosophilidae
Description: GE29245
Source: RNAcentral